RNAcentral lists this ribosomal RNA (377 nucleotides) under uncultured bacterium. Its description in RNAcentral is "partial 16S ribosomal RNA". It matches the Rfam family "Bacterial small subunit ribosomal RNA", at positions 338 to 732 of the family's 1533-position model. The record is from RNAcentral.
CCUACGGGAGGCAGCAGUGGGGAAUAUUGCACAAUGGGGGAAACCCUGAUGCAGCAACGCCGCGUGAGGGAAGAAGGUCUUCGGAUUGUAAACCUCUGUCAGCAGGGAAGAAAAUGACGGUACCUGAGCAGGAAGCCACGGCUAACUACGUGCCAGCAGCCGCGGUAAUACGUAGGGGGCGAGCGUUAUCCGGAAUUACUGGGUGUAAAGUGAGCGUAGGCGGCAUGUCAAGUCUGGGGUGAAAGCCCUGGGCUCAACCCAGGAACUGCUUUUGAAACUGAGAUGCUGGAGUGCAGUAGAGGUAAGCGGAAUUCCUAGUGUAGCGGUGAAAUGCGUAGAUAUUAGGAGGAACACCAGUGGCGAAGGCGGCUUGCUGG